UGUCAUUACAUUAGACCGUUU
RNAcentral lists this non-coding RNA (21 nucleotides) under Caenorhabditis elegans. The record is from RNAcentral. Lineage: Eukaryota; Metazoa; Nematoda; Chromadorea; Rhabditida; Rhabditidae.